UACGAAGGGGGCUAGCGUUGCUCGGAAUCACUGGGCGUAAAGCGCACGUAGGCGGAUCGUUAAGUCAGGGGUGAAAUCCUGGAGCUCAACUCCAGAACUGCCUUUGAUACUGGCGACCUUGAGUUCGGGAGAGGUGAGUGGAACUGCGAGUGUAGAGGUGAAAUUCGUAGAUAUUCGCAAGAACACCAGUGGCGAAGGCGGAUCUCUGGGCCUUACCUGACGCUGAGGCGCGAAAGCUAGGGGAGCAAACAGG
This 253-nucleotide ribosomal RNA is filed under the name uncultured bacterium. Its description in RNAcentral is "partial 16S ribosomal RNA". It matches the Rfam family "Bacterial small subunit ribosomal RNA", at positions 524 to 776 of the family's 1533-position model. The record is from RNAcentral.